RNAcentral lists this ribosomal RNA (433 nucleotides) under uncultured bacterium. RNAcentral describes it as "partial 16S ribosomal RNA". It matches the Rfam family "Bacterial small subunit ribosomal RNA", at positions 29 to 507 of the family's 1533-position model. The record is from RNAcentral.
AACGAACGCUGGCGGCAUGCCUAACACAUGCAAGUCGAACGAAGGCUUCGGCCUUAGUGGCGCACGGGUGCGUAACGCGUGGGAAUCUGCCCUUUGGUUCGGAAUAACAGCUGGAAACGGCUGCUAAUACCGGAUGAUGACGAAAGUCCAAAGAUUUAUCGCCAGAGGAUGAGCCCGCGUUGGAUUAGGUAGUUGGUGGGGUAAAGGCCUACCAAGCCGACGAUCCAUAGCUGGUCUGAGAGGAUGAUCAGCCACACUGGGACUGAGACACGGCCCAGACUCCUACGGGAGGCAGCAGUGGGGAAUAUUGGACAAUGGGCGCAAGCCUGAUCCAGCAAUGCCGCGUGAGUGAUGAAGGCCCUAGGGUUGUAAAGCUCUUUUACCCGGGAAGAUAAUGACUAUACCGGGAGAAUAAGCCCCGGCUAACUCCGUG